CCUGUUGUUGACCCAUGCUCUGCCGCUCUUCCAAAGAAGGAGGAAAAUACUUUGCAGGUGCCUUCCUCUUAUCCUCUCUCGCCGACAAGAGACAAGCAGGUGAAGACUUCUCAAAACUGAGCCUGAUCAUGCAGCUUUCCCAGCCCUGCCGUCUUUCCAAGGCUCAGGAUGGCCUCCUCCACUCUGCAGAGAGGAAGAAGAAAGGACUUCCUGCCAUAUAUCCACUCUAGGCUGUUGUACUCAUCACCAUGUCAGACAAAGUGGAAGCAUGGUCACCUUUGCCAGUUUAUAAAAGAGGCCAGUCAAUUACCUCCUGCAAGAAGAGAGUCUCCAAACGGGGGAGAGAGCAGAUUGUGCCCUUUGUGCAGUAACAGAAAUUUGGUGACUCUGGUGGGACUUUAAGUCCUGCUCACAGCCAGUCAAGCUUGGAUGGUGACCUGUCAGGAGGAAAUAAUAUCUGGUUUACAGUGCUAUUGGUGACAGAGAAAUGGGAUAACACCUGGGAGCACCUGGCAGAAUCCUCA
RNAcentral lists this long non-coding RNA (524 nucleotides) under Equus caballus (horse). Its description in RNAcentral is "lncRNA (ENSECAG00000047013.1)". The record is from RNAcentral. Lineage: Eukaryota; Metazoa; Chordata; Mammalia; Perissodactyla; Equidae.